Molecule: ribosomal RNA, 497 nt
Filed under: uncultured bacterium
Lineage: Bacteria
Description: partial 16S ribosomal RNA
Rfam family: Bacterial small subunit ribosomal RNA
Source: RNAcentral
GAUGAACGCUGGCGGCGUGCCUAAUACAUGCAAGUCGAGCGAACAGACGAGGAGCUUGCUCCUCUGACGUUAGCGGCGGACGGGUGAGUAACACGUGGAUAACCUACCUAUAAGACUGGGAUAACUUCGGGAAACCGGAGCUAAUACCGGAUAAUAUAUUUAACCGCAUGGUUCAAUAGUGAAAGACGGUUUUGCUGUCACUUAUAGAUGGAUCCGCGCCGCAUUAGCUAGUUGGUAAGGUAACGGCUUACCAAGGCAACGAUGCGUAGCCGACCUGAGCGGGUGAUCGGCCACACUGGAACUGAGACACGGUCCAGACUCCUACGGGAGGCAGCAGUAGGGAAUCUUCCGCAAUGGGCGAAAGCCUGACGGAGCAACGCCGCGUGAGUGAUGAAGGUCUUCGGAUCGUAAAACUCUGUUAUUAGGGAAGAACAAAUGUGUAAGUAACUAUGCACGUCUUGACGGUACCUAAUCAGAAAGCCACGGCUAACUACGUG